This 756-nucleotide ribosomal RNA is filed under the name uncultured bacterium. RNAcentral's name for it is "bacterial SSU rRNA". It matches the Rfam family "Bacterial small subunit ribosomal RNA", at positions 8 to 796 of the family's 1533-position model. The record is from RNAcentral.
AGAGUUUGAUCAUGGCUCAGAAUCAACGCUGGCGGCGUGCCUAACACAUGCAAGUCGAACGAGAAAGUGGAGCAAUCCAUGAGUAAAGUGGCGACCGGGUGAGUAACACGUGACUAACCUACCUCCGAGUGGGGAAUAACUCCGGGAAACCGGGGCUAAUACCGCAUAACAUCGCAAGAUCAAAGCAGCAAUGCGCUUGGAGAGGGGGUCGCGGCUGAUUAGCUAGUUGGCGGGGUAACGGCCCACCAAGGCGAAGAUCGGUAUCCGGCCUGAGAGGGCGCACGGACACACUGGAACUGAAACACGGUCCAGACUCCUACGGGAGGCAGCAGUGGGGAAUUUUGCGCAAUGGGGGAAACCCUGACGCAGCAACGCCGCGUGGAGGAUGAAGUCCCUUGGGACGUAAACUCCUUUCGACCAAGACGAUAAUGACGGUACUGGUGGAAGAAGCACCGGCUAACUCUGUGCCAGCAGCCGCGGUAAUACAGAGGGUGCGAGCGUUGUUCGGAAUUAUUGGGCGUAAAGGGCGCGUAGGCGGUGCCACAAGUCACUUGUGAAAUCCCCGGGCUUAACUCGGGGCCUGCAGGCGAAACUGUGGUGCUGGAGUAUGGGAGAGGUGCGUGGAAUUCCCGGUGUGGCGGUGAAAUGCGUAGAUAUCGGGAGGAACACCUGUGGCGAAAGCGGCGCACUGGACCAUAACUGACGCUGAGGCGCGAAAGCUAGGGGAGCAAACAGGAUUAGAUACCCCAGUAGUCC